AAAAGAGAAAAGUGGGAGAGAGCGCUGCUGAGGAUCUGUCUCAUACCAGGUGGAAAGAGAAUAGCUUGUGAGAGUGUAUGAGUGGAAUGAAGUGGUCAGAUGAGAGAGCGCGGCGGAGAUGGAGAGAAGCGGAGAACUUGAUGCAUAUUUUGGAGGCAAAAUCAACAAGAUUGGCUGAUGGAUUAAAAGCAGAAGAUUUUGCCAUAGAGAAAUCUCUUGCUUUUCAAUCUCUCCAAUUUGGGAACCAACCAACCAACCAGUCUACCAACCAGCCAACGAACCAACUACUCAACCGGUCAACUGACUCCUCCCGGAGACAAAGAUUGGAGAAUUGCUUGAAUCUGGUACAAAGACUAAAGCAAAGUAAUACUGUAUCAUGCACAGACCUCAACUCUGUGAAGACAGUCCCUCAUGCUGUAGGAAGUCAGCCUUGAAUAUCUAGGCUUAGGGGAGGCUGAGAAAGGUCACCACUGGAGAAGUAAGCGGUUGGGGCAGGUCAGGAUCCAGGGCUCUCAAUUCUUAUGGAGAGAUUUUGCUUUUUUAAAACAUCAGACCUGCUGGUGUUUGCACUCAGUUUUCUUUCUUAUAAAAAUCAACUCUAUUGAGAUGUACUGCCCAAUCAAGAUAUAGAACAUUUGCAUCACCCUAGAAAACUUCCUUGUGCCCCAAAUCACAUCACUGAUGUGAUUUCUAUCACUAUAGCUGAGUUUUGUCUAUCCUAGAACUUUGUGUAAAUUGUCCUUUUCUUUUGACUUUAUGUAGUUUUUUUCUCAUGUGGAAGAAAAAGAAUUAUUGUAGGUUUAUGGUUUUUAAAAAAUAUUCAAAUCGGAUUCAUCUGACAUUUAUUUUGGUGUAGUGUGUGAAAGGCACAGAUCUAAUCUCAUUUAUUUUCUCCCAGAGAGCUACCUGGUUGUUUCAACAUCAUUUAUUGACAAAUGUAUCUUUUUUCUCACUGGUUUAAAUGCCACCUUUAUCAUACAUUAAAUUCCCAAGUGUGCUCAGGUAUAUUUCUGGACCGUCCGUUCUUUUCCUUUGAUGUGUUUAUUCAUGUCUCAAUACAAUACUCUUUUAAUUAUGGUUGGUUUAUUUUUAAAAUGUCUCAUAUUUUAGAAUUUUCUGCUCUAUCUCUUCAAUGGGUUACUUCUCACCAAGGUUCCCAUAUUAGUUAUCUAUUGCUGCAUAACAAAUUAUCCUAAAACUCAGCAGCUUGAAAAUGUGUUAUCUCACACUUUCUGAGAGUCAGGAACCUGAGAGCACUGUAGCUGGGUAGUUCUGGCUUAGGAUCUCUCAAGAGGUUGUGGCUAUGCUGUCAGCAGGGCUGCAGUUGUCUCAAGACUUGACUGGGGCUAAGAGAUUCGCUUCCAGGCUCACUCACAUGAUUGAGCAAAUAGGCCUUAGUUCCUCACUGGUCUCAGUUCCUCGCUGGCUGUUGGCUGGAGGACUCAGGUCUUUACCACAUGGGUUUGCAAUAGGGAUGCUCCCAAUAUGGCAGCCAGAGUGCUGAGAGAGAGAGAGAGGAGAGAGAGAGCAAGCCCAAGACAGAACACUCUGUUUUUUACAGCCUAACCUUGGAAGUGAUGGACCAUUACCUCUGGCAACUCUGGUGUGGUGUGAGAAACUUAUGUGGGUGCGAGUACCAGUGGGCAGGGAUCAUAGUGGCCAUCUAGAGGCUGGCUCCCACAGUUCCAAUCCUGGCUCUCUUCUCUUUUCACUUUCUUCACGCUCCUGGGAGCUCUAUUCCAUUUGAUGAGGCUGCUUCUACCUAUGACCAAUAAUCCCCAAAUAAUUAUCCUUAUCGCUAACUCAGUCUUGAACUCUGGAACUAUUUCCAAUUGCAGGGAUACCUCCUCUGAAAUAUCCCAUAGUGAUCUCCAUGCCUUUAAUGAUGCUUUCCUGGGGAACCGUCUGAACCUUAGACCUACUUCUAUUUUGACAUGUAUCCCUGCGUUGCAUUUAUCUGAUUCCUCCAUUAGACUAUAAGCUGAUUUUUAUUUAUUUAUUUCUGUAAGCUUAUUGAGGGUAGGGACUAUGUUUUCAUUAUUUUUUUGUGUUUGCAGUACUUGGUGCCUAGCAUGAAGUGGGGUCUGGAGCCUGCUUGAGUUUGGGGCUGUGGACUCAUGGGUCCAUCUGUUUCCAUUGUGUGACAGCAUCUCUGGAGACAGCCAGACUGGCAAGAAUGGGUCCUCAAACUGUGCUUUGUACUUUUUUUUCUUCUUUUCCUUUCCCUCUUCCUCCUCCCAGUCUCAAGAGGUAACUUUGAGACAAACUGCAUAUAUGUUACCUUUCAUCUCGAAAUAACAAUCUCAGAAUGUGCUGUGAACCUCCACUCCCUUUCUUUCCCAUGCUAUGCUCCCAUGCCUUAUGUAUAGUUAUUUACCUAAAGGCUUGUUAAGCACAAACCAUGUUCUCUUAUCUGCAAUAUAUUUCCUUAGAAGCUUUGUUGCAGUAGGUAGUCAGGCAGACAUGAGCAGGGCAGGAGAGAGCUCCCCACCACACACCAGGAAUACCAGUUGUUAUGCUGUUUCUCUAAAAUAAUAAUUGGCCACAGCUGGUGCCAGGGAACGGCCAUCUCCCAAUACAUAGAAACACCUGAAGCUGGUGAUCAGCAGCUUCCAGAUAAGAUCUCAGGAGUUGGGUGAGUGGGCUCAAGCAUGCACAUCAAGAGGUAAAAUGGCUGAGUUUAACUGGUAUAUGACCACCUUCUAGGAAUACUCGACUGGUAAGGGAAGAAUGCUUAAAGUGAGCAUGCGUACAACUCCAGUAAACACACUGCACAUGAAGUCCCUGUCAGGUGCUGGCAGGCCAUUGCACAUGCAGAAUGCCAAUAUGUAAGAACUCAAGUCCAAGGUCAGACCUGGCACUCGAUCUCUCAAGUUGCUUGCUUGGCCCUCUUUCUAGCAUACUUUACUUCCUUUCGUUCCUGCUCUAAAGCUUUUUAAUAACUUUUCACACCUGCUUCAACACUUGCCUGGGUCUCUCACUCUGCCUUAUGUCCUUCAGUUGAAUUUUUUCUCCUGAGGAAGCAAGAAUUGAGGUUGCUGCAGACCUGUACGGACUCACUGCUGCUAACAUACUUUAGUGCCAUGUGGCUCGGAUACAUUCCCUAGUGGUAAGAGAUCUCUACCUCUCACCUUCUUCAGCUGGAGGUGUUCAACCCCUGUACACAGUUUCCUUCUGUCUUUUCACUCUCCUGCCUACUAACCAACCCUCAGAAUGAUUCCUGUCAGCCACAGAGGCUCUGCUACCCCAGGCUGACCUCUCAGUUCACCCUGACCGAUGGGUUGAGGGGGUAGGAAGGACCUUGGAGUCUGCAUUGAGUAGCUCUGAGGCAGUAAUGGCUCUCCUAGAGAAGGAGCUUACAAGAGUAGCAGGGCUAAAGCCUAAAACCAUGCAAUACCUGGGGUUUCCUCUGCUUUUUCAACUAAAAUCCACUCUUUUCCAAAAUCUUCACUGUCUAUUCUCCUGUUUUCCCUGUGUGUAUUCUGAAAUGGCCUUGCACACCCACUGACUGUCUGCCUCAGGGGCAAGUCUGCCUCUUCUCUGGUUUCACUUCACAUGCUGUGUGACUGUCUUCUCUGCCUUAAAACUCACACUCCCUGUUAUUUGUGUGCCCACAGCUCUUGAUGCAUCUGCUCAGCAGCAAAGACAUGGGCUCCAUUUGUGAUUACCCCAAGAUUUAUACUUGUAUACUUGUUUUUACUCUACCAGCGCAGAUGACCUCCAACCUUUCCCCUGUCUACUGGCUCACUGCUGGGACAGACAUUAAUUGGAACUCUGGCUCUGCCAGCUUCUUAUGACUUACAAUAUGCUCUUCACUCCUUUUACACCCCAGGGCCAAGUUUUCUGGUGGCAUUUGAAGCAGUUUGUCUGCCUGCAUAGGACCUCGCUCUGCUUUUUUUUUUUUUGAGUUAGGACUCCUUUGGGAAGAGGGAAAUUCUUCCUUUGUCAUUUGCAAGUUCUUACCCCAAGCUCCAAGUCCUGUGGAGGUUACUCGUUUAUGUCAAGAGGGCAAAUAAAUGUUGCUGUCUCAAAUCCAAGGGCUAUUUUUUGUGAGCAUAAGAAGGCUUUCCUUGAGUAUUCCUCUUGCUUCCUUCCACAUUCUCCAGUAGCCUCCAUUUCUCUAAUCACUUCCACACCCUUGUCAAUGUGCAUCAAGACCUUCAAGGUCAUAUUCGAAGGGAGGGAAGUCCACCCCCUUGCGGCAGGACAAGACAGGCUUCUCAUCCACUUAAAGAACAUGGGAAAUGGGAAUCUGAGAAAAGAGACAAUCAUUUUGUUGCUCUGAGCGAGCAUCACUAUAAGGUCAUGGAGACAAGGAUACAGGCCAGCCCAAGGCUGCAGGAUCAAGAGACCCAUAGGACAGAGCUGAAGGCUGGUCCCAAGCUAACAGAUAACCAUUAGAACAGAGACCAAGGCAAGGUUAGAGGUACACAGUAAUAUCAGUUCAUUCUGGAACCCCAAGGAUGAACAGGGGGCCCCCUGUUCACUCCAGCAUUUCCUUUGUUCUCAAGUGGGUAAUUGUGACGAGAUGGGACCAACGUUAAAGGUACACAGUAAGACCAAUUCAUUCCAGAACCCUAAGGACAAAUGGGGGACACCCUAUUCAGGAUAAUAGGAAAGUAAGAAGGGGCAGCAUCUUUUUCCUUUUUCCUCCUCUGUCCUGUCUUCACAGAUGGGUAAUUGUGUCUCCAGACCACAGGACAUGCCCCUCGGAUUCAUCCUCCAAAACUAGAAAAAGUUUGAUUCCCCUAAACCUUAAAACAAACAAACAAAAAAAACCCUAGUUUUUCUUUAUAUUAUUGUUUGGCCUAAAAAUAAACUGGGAGAAAAUACGAAAGUCAGCCUUAGAACUUAGUGCCUUUAUGCAGGAAAUCCUCAAAUUAGCCUCCCUGGUCUUUUAUAACUGAAAGCAGAAUAAGGAGGGCAGGGCUAGGGAGAAAGAGAAAUGCAGGUACUAGAGGCAGGCUGAACUAUUAGCUGCUUUGCAAGCCCACCAGUCCCCUCCAGGUUGCCCUAAGGACACUCCUCCAGAUAAGUGCCAUUGGUGCUGAAAGACAGGUCACUGGAAGGCAAACUUCCCCAAUGAGAAAAUUGGGAAAAAGGCCCACAUGGCUUGCCCUGUCUGCCACAAGCUUGGCCACUGGAGAUGGGACUGUCCUGAAGGCUGAAGGGCCCCUGGGACAGAAUCCCAACCACUUAUGGCCCUGAGCUGAAGGGGCUCUCCACUCCAGCUGGCUUCCAAAUCAGACAUUGUCACCAACAGGACAAAGCCAAGGGCAACUCUGGAGGUGGCAAGUAAAAUUUAAAGUUUCCCUUUUGGGUUUAAGAGCUGCCUACUCUGUGCUAAUCUCCUUCUCUAAGCAACUCUCCUCCAAAUCCUGUUGGGAUCCACACCCCUUUAUAUUACUUAAGGGACUAAUUACCAUUCUCUCACCAGUCCCUGGUAAUGUCUAGAUACCCCACACCUCCUUGGGGCAAAAAUAUGCUUUCCAAGAUGGAUGCCUACUUAAUAUUUAGCCUAUCUUUGAAUUCAUCUUUCCCUCUGAUAGCCCUAUUUCUCCCAAAAAGCUACCUAAAUCUUUAACCUAAACAUUUCUACCUCAGGGGUUUAGAAAUAGCCCACUCUUACUCGAACCAGCCCUAGCAAAAAAAUCUAACUGAGCAAUCUCUUGAGAGGGAUAACUUCUAUAGUA
Molecule: long non-coding RNA, 5693 nt
Filed under: Homo sapiens (human)
Lineage: Eukaryota; Metazoa; Chordata; Mammalia; Primates; Hominidae
Description: HSALNT0375715
Source: RNAcentral